RNAcentral lists this ribosomal RNA (497 nucleotides) under uncultured bacterium. RNAcentral's name for it is "partial 16S ribosomal RNA". It matches the Rfam family "Bacterial small subunit ribosomal RNA", at positions 28 to 507 of the family's 1533-position model. The record is from RNAcentral.
GAUGAACGCUGGCGGCGUGCCUAAUACAUGCAAGUCGAGCGAACGGACGAUAAGCUUGCUUCUCUGAUGUUAGCGGCGGACGGGUGAGUAACACGUGGAUAACCUACCUAUAAGACUGGGAUAACUUCGGGAAACCGGAGCUAAUACCGGAUAAUAUUUUGAACCGCAUGGUUCAAAAGUGAAAGACGGUCUUGCUGUCACUUAUAGAUGGAUCCGCGCUGCAUUAGCUAGUUGGUAAGGUAACGGCUUACCAAGGAAACGAUGCAUAGCCGACCUGAGAGGGUGAUCGGCCACACUGGAACUGAGACACGGUCCAGACUCCUACGGGAGGCAGCAGUAGGGAAUCUUCCGCAAUGGGCGAAAGCCUGACGGAGCAACGCCGCGUGAGUGAUGAAGGUCUUCGGAUCGUAAAACUCUGUUAUUAGGGAAGAACAUAUGUGUAAGUAACUGUGCACAUCUUGACGGUACCUAAUCAGAAAGCCACGGCUAACUACGUG